This 376-nucleotide ribosomal RNA is filed under the name uncultured bacterium. Its description in RNAcentral is "partial 16S ribosomal RNA". It matches the Rfam family "Bacterial small subunit ribosomal RNA", at positions 338 to 731 of the family's 1533-position model. The record is from RNAcentral.
CCUACGGGAGGCAGCAGUGGGGGAUAUUGCACAAUGGGGGAAACCCUGAUGCAGCGACGCCGCGUGAGUGAAGAAGUAUUUCGGUAUGUAAAGCUCUAUCAGCAGGGAAGAAAAUGACAGUACCUGACCAAGAAGCCCCGGCUAACUACGUGCCAGCAGCCGCGGUAAUACGUAGGGGGCAAGCGUUAUCCGGAUUUACUGGGGGUAAAGGGUGCGUAGUCGGUUGUGGAAGUCUGGGGUGAAAGCCCGGGGCCCAACCCCGGGCCUGCUUUUGAGACUGUGUAACUGGAGAACAGAAGGGGCAGGCGGAAUGCGUGGGGUAGCGGUGAAAUGCUGAGAUAGUAGGAAGAAAACCGGGGGCGAGGGCGGCUUGCUA